GACGAACGCUGGCGGCGUGCUUAACACAUGCAAGUCGAACGGAAAGGCCCUGCUUUUGUGGGGUGCUCGAGUGGCGAACGGGUGAGUAACACGUGAGUAACCUGCCCUUGACUUUGGGAUAACUUCAGGAAACUGGGGCUAAUACCGGAUAGGAGCUCCUGCUGCAUGGUGGGGGUUGGAAAGUUUCGGCGGUUGGGGAUGGACUCGCGGCUUAUCAGCUUGUUUGUGGGGUAGUGGCUUACCAAGUCUUUGACGGGUAGCCGGCCUGAGAGGGUGACCGGCGACAUUGGGACUGCGAUACGGCCCAGACGCCUACGGGAGGCAGCAGUGGGGAAUAUGGCACAAUGGGCGGAAGCCUGAUGCAGCAACGCCGCGUGCGGGAUGACGGCCUUCGGGUUGUAAACCGCUUUCGCCUGUGACGAAGCGUGAGUGACGGUAAUGGGUAAAGAAGCACCGGCUAACUACGUG
Molecule: ribosomal RNA, 468 nt
Filed under: uncultured bacterium
Lineage: Bacteria
Description: partial 16S ribosomal RNA
Rfam family: Bacterial small subunit ribosomal RNA
Source: RNAcentral